CUUGUAUUGGAUGAUGGGAAUUUAAACCCCUUCCAGAGUAUCAAUUGGAGGGCAAGUCUGGUGCCAGCAGCCGCGGUAAUUCCAGCUCCAAUAGCGUAUAUUAAACUUGUUGCAGUUAAAAAGCUCGUAGUUGAAUUUCUGCUGCAUCGUGGUUCUUCGCUAUGUCGAGUGAUCUUCGUUGUGGCUUAGUUGGGGCAUGUUUUCAUGACUCGACGUUUACUUUGAGAAAAUUAGAGUGCUUCAAGCAGGCUUUUGCCUUGAAUACUUUAGCAUGGAAUAAUGGAGUAGGACUUUGGUUCUAUUUUGUUGGUUUUAGGAGCCGGAGUAAUGGUUAAUAGGAACAGUUGGGGGCAUUCGUAUUUGACUGUCAGAGGUGAAAUUCUU
RNAcentral lists this ribosomal RNA (384 nucleotides) under Theileria equi. Its description in RNAcentral is "SSU rRNA". It matches the Rfam family "Eukaryotic small subunit ribosomal RNA", at positions 504 to 921 of the family's 1831-position model. Lineage: Eukaryota; Apicomplexa; Aconoidasida; Piroplasmida; Theileriidae. The record is from RNAcentral.